This 459-nucleotide long non-coding RNA is filed under the name Cricetulus griseus (Chinese hamster). Its description in RNAcentral is "lncRNA (ENSCGRG00015032888.1)". Lineage: Eukaryota; Metazoa; Chordata; Mammalia; Rodentia; Cricetidae. The record is from RNAcentral.
CAUGUGUGUCGGUUAAGGUUCAUUUGGGGAGGAAGGUUCACUGUGAAUUACGAGACGAUGAAUCCACUCCAGAAAAUGGGUUUCCCACAGUUUGGAGGAGAAGUAGGGAAGGAGAGGUCAGGAGAAGGGAGCUGGAGAGUCUUGAAAAGAUUCCUAAACCAGGCCAGGCCCACAGGACAUCUGGAACCCAGGCCCAUCCCGGCCAGUGUCUGGAGAGCGGCUGUCUCCUGUAGUUGCUAUCCCUCAUUCCUUGGCCCGGACCCACCAAGGUAUUAUCGGUAAACCCGAACAGGUGAACCAGGAGUGCUGCAGAACGGGAUCCUACUGGUACCUCCCAGUCUGUCUUUUACAGCAUAGCCAGAAUGCCGUGUCUCCUUCUCCUUUCCUUCUGUCCUGUUCUAGUUCUGCAACCCUUGCUGCUUCCCAAAAGCCUCUGAGGAUUCUGACUCACCCUCCCUG